This 432-nucleotide ribosomal RNA is filed under the name uncultured bacterium. Its description in RNAcentral is "partial 16S ribosomal RNA". It matches the Rfam family "Bacterial small subunit ribosomal RNA", at positions 29 to 506 of the family's 1533-position model. The record is from RNAcentral.
AACGAACGCUGGCGGCAUGCCUAACACAUGCAAGUCGAACGAGACCUUCGGGUCUAGUGGCGCACGGGUGCGUAACGCGUGGGAACCUGCCCUUAGGUUCGGAAUAACUCCCCGAAAGGGGUGCUAAUACCGGAUAAUGUCUUCGGACCAAAGAUUUAUCGCCUUCGGAUGGGCCCGCGUUGGAUUAGCUAGUUGGUAGGGUAAAAGCCUACCAAGGCGACGAUCCAUAGCUGGUCUGAGAGGAUGAUCAGCCACACUGGGACUGAGACACGGCCCAGACUCCUACGGGAGGCAGCAGGGGGGAAUAUUGGACAAUGGGCGAAAGCCUGAUCCAGCAAGGCCGCGGGAGUGAUGAAGGCCUUAGGGUUGUAAAGCUCUUUUACCCGGGAUGAUAAGGACAGUACCGGGAGAAUAAGCUCCGGCUAACUCCGU